CCUACGGGAGGCUGCAGUGGGGAAUAUUGGACAAUGGGGGCAACCCUGAUCCAGCCAUGCCGCGUGUGUGAAGAAGGCCCUCGGGUUGUAAAGCACUUUCAGUGAGGAAGAACGCCUGGUGGUUAAUACCCAUCAGGAAAGACAUCACUCACAGAAGAAGCACCGGCUAACUCCGUGCCAGCAGCCGCGGUAAUACGGAGGGUGCGAGCGUUAAUCGGAAUUACUGGGCGUAAAGCGCGCGUAGGUGGCUUGAUAAGCCGGUUGUGAAAGCCCCGGGCUCAACCUGGGAACGGCAUCCGGAACUGUCAAGCUAGAGUGCAGGAGAGGAAGGUAGAAUUCCUGGUGUAGCGGUGAAAUGCGUAGAGAUCGGGAGGAAUACCAGUGGCGAAGGCGGCCUUCUGGACUGACACUGACACUGAGGUGCGAAAGCGUGGGUAGCAAGCAGGAUUAGAUACCCUAGUAGUC
Molecule: ribosomal RNA, 465 nt
Filed under: Vreelandella stevensii
Lineage: Bacteria; Pseudomonadati; Pseudomonadota; Gammaproteobacteria; Oceanospirillales; Halomonadaceae
Description: partial 16S ribosomal RNA
Rfam family: Bacterial small subunit ribosomal RNA
Source: RNAcentral